GUAGGUGGCAAGCGUUGUCCGGAAUUAUUGGGCGUAAAGCGCGCGCAGGCGGUUCUUUAAGUCUGAUGUGAAAGCCCACGGCUCAACCGUGGAGGGUCAUUGGAAACUGGAGAACUUGAGUACAGAAGAGGAAAGCGGAAUUCCACGUGUAGCGGUGAAAUGCGUAGAGAUGUGGAGGAACACCAGUGGCGAAGGCGGCUUUCUGGUCUGUAACUGACGCUGAGGCGCGAAAGCGUGGGGAGCAAACAGGGAUUAGGUACCCCGGUAGUCCACGCCGUAAACGAUGAGUGCUAAGUGUUAGGGGGUUUCCCGCCCCCCUUAGUGCUGCAGCUAACGCAUUAAGCACUCCGCCUGGGGAGUACGGCCGCAAGGCUG
This 375-nucleotide ribosomal RNA is filed under the name uncultured organism. Its description in RNAcentral is "partial 16S ribosomal RNA". It matches the Rfam family "Bacterial small subunit ribosomal RNA", at positions 527 to 896 of the family's 1533-position model. The record is from RNAcentral.